Molecule: ribosomal RNA, 467 nt
Filed under: uncultured bacterium
Lineage: Bacteria
Description: partial 16S ribosomal RNA
Rfam family: Bacterial small subunit ribosomal RNA
Source: RNAcentral
GACGAACGCUGGCGGCGUGUUUAACACAUGCAAGUCGAACGGAAAGGCCUCUUUCGGGGGGUACUCGAGUGGCGAACGGGUGAGUAACACGUGAGUAACCUGCCCUUGACUUUGGGAUAACUUCAGGAAACUGGGGCUAAUACCGGAUAGGAGCUCCUGCUGCAUGGUGGGGGUUGGAAAGUUUCGGCGGUUGGGGAUGGACUCGCGGCUUAUCAGCUUGUUGGUGGGGUAGUGGCUUACCAAGGCUUUGACGGGUAGCCGGCCUGAGAGGGUGACCGGCCACAUUGGGACUGAGAUACGGCCCAGACGCCUACGGGAGGCAGCAGUGGGGAAUAUUGCACAAUGGGUGGAAGCCUGAUGCAGCAACGCCGUGUGCGGGAUGACGGCCUUCGGGUUGUAAACCGCUUUCGCUCAUGACGAAGCUUUGUGUGACGGUAGUGGGUAAAGAAGCACCGGCUAACUACGUG